GUGCUCCUGCCCGGCGGGGUUUCGGCUUCACCGCUAGCGCCGCCUCUCCCGCUCCUCUAGGCCUCGGGCGCUUCUGAGAGGGGAAAAGGCCGUUUUUCGGCCGCCUCUCCCCUCAGCCGCCGGGUCUUGGUGCCUCCUCCUCACCUGCGGCUUUAGUCGACCCCCUGUUUGGGCGACGUGCUUUGGCCGGCCCUUUUCCCACCUACCUUCCCUUCGGUCGCACAACAACCCCGCGAGGCAGAGGAUGGACCUUCCAGUGGAAAAAUGGCAGAUGCACGUCAGGCAGAAAUGGUCUUCCUUGGAGCCUUUCCUGAAGGAGAAGCUGAGCCAUCCCUCGUCUCUCAGGGCCGCCUUCCUCCUCGCUUCCUCCCUCCUUCGACCUGAAGAUGAGGAAUAUUUGCUCAGCCUCUCCAAGGACUUCUCCGUGAACAAGGAUCCUGGCCUGGUUCUCUCCUGCAAAGAGGAAGGGAAUGCAAGAUUUCGGAGAAAAGAGUAUCAAUCUGCCGCAACGCUAUAUU
Anolis sagrei ordinatus is the source of this 518-nucleotide non-coding RNA. The record is from RefSeq and is a predicted model, not a curated record. Lineage: Eukaryota; Metazoa; Chordata; Lepidosauria; Squamata; Anolidae.